UACAGAGGUCUCAAGCGUUGUUCGGAUUCAUUGGGCGUAAAGGGUGCGUAGGUGGCGCUGUAAGUCAGGUGUGAAAUUUCGGAGCUUAACUCCGAAACUGCACUUGAUACUGCGGUGCUUGAGGACUGGAGAGGAGACUGGAAUUUACGGUGUAGCGGUGAAAUGCGUAGAUAUUGGGAGGAACACCAGUGGCGAAGGCGGCUACCUGGACCGGUUCUGACGCUGAGGCGCGAAAGCGUGGGUAGCAAACAGG
This 253-nucleotide ribosomal RNA is filed under the name uncultured bacterium. RNAcentral's name for it is "partial 16S ribosomal RNA". It matches the Rfam family "Bacterial small subunit ribosomal RNA", at positions 524 to 776 of the family's 1533-position model. The record is from RNAcentral.